ACGAACGCUGGCGGCGUGCCUAAUACAUGCAAGUCGAGCGGAAUGAUGAAGAAGCUUGCUUCUUCUGAUUUUAGCGGCGGACGGGUGAGUAACACGUGGGCAACCUACCUUGUAGAUUGGGAUAACUCCGGGAAACCGGGGCUAAUACCGAAUAAUCCAUUUUGCUUCAUGGCGAGAUGUUGAAAGACGGUUUCGGCUGUCACUAUAAGAUGGGCCCGCGGCGCAUUAGCUAGUUGGUAGGGUAAUGGCCUACCAAGGCGACGAUGCGUAGCCGACCUGAGAGGGUGAUCGGCCACACUGGGACUGAGACACGGCCCAGACUCCUACGGGAGGCAGCAGUAGGGAAUCUUCCACAAUGGACGAAAGUCUGAUGGAGCAACGCCGCGUGAGUGAAGAAGGUUUUCGGAUCGUAAAACUCUGUUGUAAGAGAAGAACACGUACGAGAGUAACUGCUCGUACCUUGACGGUACCUUAUUAGAAAGCCACGGCUAACUACGUG
Molecule: ribosomal RNA, 499 nt
Filed under: uncultured bacterium
Lineage: Bacteria
Description: bacterial SSU rRNA
Rfam family: Bacterial small subunit ribosomal RNA
Source: RNAcentral